UGGGGAAUUUUGGACAAUGGGCGAAAGCCUGAUCCAGCAAUGCCGCGUGUGUGAAGAAGGCCUUCGGGUUGUAAAGCACUUUUGUCCGGAAAGAAAUCCUUGGCUCUAAUACAGUCGGGGGAUGACGGUACCGGAAGAAUAAGCACCGGCUAACUACGUGCCAGCAGCCGCGGUAAUACGUAGGGUGCGAGCGUUAAUCGGAAUUACUGGGCGUAAAGCGUGCGCAGGCGGUUUGCUAAGACCGAUGUGAAAUCCCCGGGCUCAACCUGGGAACUGCAUUGGUGACUGGCAGGCUAGAGUAUGGCAGAGGGGGGUAGAAUUCCACGUGUAGCAGUGAAAUGCGUAGAGAUGUGGAGGAAUACCGAUGGCGAAGGCAGCCCCCUGGGCCAAUACUGACGCUCAUGCACGAAAGCGUGGGGAGCAAACAGGAUUAGAUACCCCCGUAGUCC
RNAcentral lists this ribosomal RNA (449 nucleotides) under uncultured prokaryote. RNAcentral describes it as "bacterial SSU rRNA". It matches the Rfam family "Bacterial small subunit ribosomal RNA", at positions 355 to 796 of the family's 1533-position model. The record is from RNAcentral.